GACGAACGCUGGCGGCGUGCUUAACACAUGCAAGUCGAACGGUGAAGCGCCUUCCUUUUUGGUGGGUGUGGAUGAGUGGCGAACGGGUGAGUAACACGUGAGUAACCUGCCCCCUUCUUCUGGAUAACCGCAUGAAAGUGUGGCUAAUACGGGAUAUUCCGUGUCUGUCGCAUGAUGGGUCUGGGGAAGAUUUUGUUUCGGUGGGGGCUGGGCUCGCGGCCUCUCAGCUUGUUGGUGGGGUGCUGGCCUAACAAGGCGAUGCCGGGUAGCCGGCCUGAGAGGGUGGACGAGCAUACUAGUGCGGAGACGCGGCGCAGACUACGGGAGGCAGCAGCGGGGAGGAAUAGUGCACGAGGGGCGGAAGGCUGAAGCAGCGACGCGGCGUGGGAGAUGGAGGCCUGGGGGUUGUGAACCUCUUUCGCGAGUGAAGCAGGGCAGCCUCGUUUGUGGGUGUGUUGACGGUAGCUGGAGAAGAAGCGCCGGCUAACUACGUG
This 494-nucleotide ribosomal RNA is filed under the name uncultured bacterium. Its description in RNAcentral is "partial 16S ribosomal RNA". It matches the Rfam family "Bacterial small subunit ribosomal RNA", at positions 28 to 507 of the family's 1533-position model. The record is from RNAcentral.